GACGAACGCUGGCGGCAGGCCUAACACAUGCAAGUCGAACGCCCCGCAAGGGGAGUGGCAGACGGGUGAGUAACGCGUGGGAACGUACCCUUCGGUUCGGAAUAACCCGGGGAAACUCGGGCUAAUACCGGAUACGUCCGCAAGGAGAAAGAUUUAUCGCCGAAGGAUCGGCCCGCGUCGGAUUAGCUAGUUGGUGGGGUAAUGGCCCACCAAGGCGACGAUCCGUAGCUGGUCUGAGAGGAUGAUCAGCCACACUGGGACUGAGACACGGCCCAGACUCCUACGGGAGGCAGCAGUGGGGAAUAUUGGACAAUGGGCGAAAGCCUGAUCCAGCCAUGCCGCGUGAGUGAAGAAGGCCUUAGGGUUGUAAAGCUCUUUCAGCGGGGAAGAUAAUGACGGUACCCGCAGAAGAAGCCCCGGCUAACUUCGUGCCAGCAGCCGCCGUAAC
This 448-nucleotide ribosomal RNA is filed under the name uncultured bacterium. RNAcentral's name for it is "bacterial SSU rRNA". It matches the Rfam family "Bacterial small subunit ribosomal RNA", at positions 28 to 524 of the family's 1533-position model. The record is from RNAcentral.